UGGCGCAGUGGAUAGCGCUGAUGUUUUCCAAUUUUUCAGUGCGGGUUCAAUUCCCGC
RNAcentral lists this transfer RNA (57 nucleotides) under Caenorhabditis brenneri. It matches the Rfam family "tRNA", at positions 8 to 63 of the family's 71-position model. Rfam says of the family: Transfer RNA (tRNA) molecules are approximately 80 nucleotides in length. The record is from Rfam by way of RNAcentral. Lineage: Eukaryota; Metazoa; Nematoda; Chromadorea; Rhabditida; Rhabditidae.